RNAcentral lists this long non-coding RNA (4054 nucleotides) under Marmota monax (woodchuck). Lineage: Eukaryota; Metazoa; Chordata; Mammalia; Rodentia; Sciuridae. The record is from RNAcentral.
AGAGCCUUCCCCAGCAGCCGCUCCCCAUCCCAGCAGCUUCUUUUCAAUGUCAAUUGAGAAUUGGGUUAAAAUCUCCAACUAUGUGCCCAUGAGAUGUGUUAGUCAGCUAUUGGUGCAUAACAAAUAACCCACAGACUAGAAGUUUUAAACAACAGCUCUCCCUUAUCUUUCAGGUUCUGUGGGUCAGGAAUUCAGGGACAACUUUGCUGGGGGAUUCUGGCUUGGAGUCUUGGGAGGUUGCAGGGGGCCGUGGUCUAAAGCUGGGCUAGAGGAGCUGCCUUCAAGAUGGCUCACUUCUGUGCUGUUGGUGGGAGGCCUGUGCCUUCAUAUUGAAUGUCCUCACGUGGCAGCUGGCUUACGCCAGAGUGAGCAUCCAAGAGAGAGAAGGGAGCCCCCAUGCCUGAGCUGAUGCCAUCUCAGAAACCGCAGAGGGUCACCUCUGUCACAGUCCGUUUGUUAGAGGUGAAUCACCAAGUACACGGCAAAGAUUCGACUCCACCUUUUGAAGGUGGAGGUGUAAAAAAAAAUGUGGACUUAUUUUAACCACCCUAGGGGUUUGUCUUAGGAGAAUGUUCUAGUGGUCAAGGUUGGAGCCCAUGUUGGGAGCCGAGCCUGAGAACCUUCGUGGAGUCCUACUGUGUGCAUCUCAUUGUGUAGGCAGCAGUCAUACAUGCCCGGGGAUCAUGGGGUACAGGAAGUGUGAGAUGUUUGGGGACUAGGUCACCGUAUAGAGAACUAAGGGGGAGGCUCAGUGCUGGGCAGAGUGCGGAUACAGGAGGAAGGAUUGCUUCAAAUUAGCACGUUCAUGGAGGGACCUCACCAAGGACCUGCCACGAACCGGGCUCCACAGGAUGGACGGGUUUACCCAUUCAGGGAUGGGAGCUGGAGUUGGGGAAAAUCUGAUCAUACUACAGGUGUUCAUCAGGCAUUUAUGGAGCACCUGCUGUGUGCUAGACACUGCACAUAUAUUAUCUUUAAUCUUCAUGAGAAUUUCCAGGAGGUGAGCACUAUGUCCCCAUUUUUGCAGAUGAAGAAACAAGCCCAAAGACGUGGUGACCCCUCUGAGACGGAGAGGCCCUCACCUAAGAGACAUGUUCAUUUCACAGAACCUGGAGACAGCUCUUGCCUUAGGAGCUUGCUGGCUUCUUCAAAGCAGGGCUUUUAUAUAACCAUCAGCUUCAGGGAGCAGGCAGCAGAGUGACGAAUCUCUUUACAGACGCCUUGUCAUUUUAUUGAAAAUUUUACAGAAGAGGCUCCUUCAUUGUCAAGUCCACACCCCACCCGAUACUUUGAAAAUAUGAUUCCAAAUGUUUUAAGAGUCACUUUGCACACCUCUCCCCUGGAACUGGCACUCUGUGCACUCCUGUGGGCUGCUUCCCCAAGUUGAUGCCCCCCGCCUCAUGUGUGGACAUGAUUGCGUUCACGUCCACAGCUGCUGUGGCAGAGCCAUCCCGGGCUCAGCACGUGAGACAUAAAGCCCAAGAGGUUUUCCUUUUCGUUCUUGGUGACAGGGUACAAAUGUCUCCCUUGCUUCUCCCUCCAGAACGUGGACACCUUAACAGCAACAACUGUAUCUCCGCAGCCUUAAGUGGCCUCUGAGAUCGCAGAUGUCAGUAACUAUUUGCUGAGUUAAUAGAUGGUCUCCAUUUAAAUGACUCUUGACCAGAGAGCAGAAAUUCGGCCAAGACACAGGGAGGGAGCUUGAAAAGAAGGGACGAUGGCGGGGGUGGGGGUUUCACACUCGUCAAUACGUAAAAACAAAAUAAAAACUCUUGGGCCCAAGACAGAAUAGACGGCAUCAAGAACAAAAUCUUUCCAUCUGAAAAUGCCUGGCUCUUGCGUUUGGGUCCUUUUUGGGUGCGUGGAUUUGCAGGUGACAGGAGGAAGUGCAGGCAGGUACCCAAACGAGUACCCCGUGGACCCUCCCUGAUCCCUGCACAGCCAGCCGGAGAGCAGCAGCCGACCACCUCUGGGGGAGAGGCACCUCCGUCCUGUCAUCAUCUCGAGCACAGAGGGGACAGGAACGAGCGCGGGUCUAUUAUAUUUUUUGCCAGAACCGACAGUAGCAUUGGUGAUGGGAGAAAUGUCACGGUGUAACAUUUAAAGAUUAAAAACAAAAAUCCACCGAGAGCAGGAGGCUGCCUUGGGAAGUGUCUGGAGAGGAUUCCUUCCUGUUCACGGGCAGCCCAGCCUGCACCCUGCCUGUGCCCUGUCUCCAAGGCCCGGGUCCAUUUCCUGGAUACUCCACGAGCUUCUGCUUUAACUGGCCACAUCAUCAAACAAUGAGAACCCCGCAUGAAUGAGGCAGGGCGCCUGGGAAUCGCAGAUGAGGUGAGACCUACGCCUCAUCCCCCAAAUAAACGCGGGGCAUUGACUUUUAGGGGCGCACCGGGCUUCUCUGUUGAAUGUCUUAUUCAGCAUCUCUGUUCUCUCUUGAAAAUGCUGCUCUUCAUUCAGAUCUGCAUGGCUGAGGGCUUUGGGAGGAAGAGGGUCUGGGUUGAGAGUUGGGUGUGCUUUCAGUUUGAGGCGCCCUUCCCAGUUUCCCAGGGUCAGAAGCAGGCUGUGGGCUGGGGGCGUGGCCUGCCCCGCUUUGGGGAGGAAGGGCAGGCUGCCAGGGCGAGCCGCUGUCUGCCUGUGGUUGCAAACCUCCGGGAGAGCAGUGAGCACUGUUGUCCCGUGUCCUUUCCCCAGCCCCAUACAGCUUGACCAACGUCAGCUGCAGCGACAAGUAGUCCCUCUCUGUUUUGACGUCCUCACCCAGGGGUUGGCAGACCGUGAUCCUCAGUCAGCUGGCCCGCUGUCUGUUUUUGUAAAUAAAGUUUUAUUGGAACAUUGUUUACAGAUCACCUAAGGGAGCUUUCCUGCUACAGUGGCCAUCUAGUCCCCUGCUACCCCAGAUGCAAAGGCCCCGCUGGAAAGAACUGUGCCCUCUGGGCAGCUCCUCCAGCAACCGCACCAUGCUCUGUGAGUGUAGACCUGUCAUCUCGAGGCUCUUCCUGCUGUGCUGGACACCCGUGUUUGGAUCGCUGCUCUGGCUCUCAUUGCCCGGGAACUUCUGUGGCUCUGUGCCUCAGUUUCCUCAUCUUCAAAGUGGGCACACUCAUAGUGCCUGCUCACAGAUUGGAGGAGAAGUGGCGGAGCCUGGCGCAGGCUGGCAGAGGGCACGCAUGAGAAAUGUCAGUUAUUAUUAUUCUUUUUGAAAAAAAAUCUUGCUGUGUUUAUUAUUCAUUAAACAAGAUUGCAGGACCGACUCGGUAGAAAUGGGCAGAGGGAUGCGGGCACCAUCCCAUGUAUUUUAUACCUGCCCUGCCAGACCCCCCUGGGAGGGCUUCCAGAUGAGGUCCCUUUUGUCAUAAAUCCAAAUGUCUCUUCAUGCCUAUCUGCAUUUUGAUGCUGGGAUUAGAUGCUCUGUGUUGUGUGGAUGUUGGAAUAUUUAUUUAUUUAUCUUGUUUUCAGAUCUGUUCUUUGUUCUAAUUGGCCAUCUGUGACAGUAGGAUGCACUCUGACACAUCAUGCGUACAUGGGGGUCUAACUUCUCAUUCUUCUGGUUGUGCAUGGUUGGAAUCACACCAGUGUGUGAUCAUGUGUGUACAUAGGGUGAUCAUAUCCGAUUCAUUCUACUAUCCUUCCUACCCACCCUCCAUUCCUUUCUGCCUAAUCCAGAGCACCUCUGUUCUUCCUCCCUAGCUCCCUCUCCCCCCUUUAUUGUGAAUUAGCAUCCACAUCUCAGAGAAAAAAAUUGGCCUUGGUAUUUUUGAGAUUGGCUUAUUUGCUUAGCAUGAUCGGGUAUCGAUUAUCAAUGAUGACAGUGGUAUUUCCAAUGGCUUGGCAGAACCCAGAGGCACCCCGGCUCGUCCUUUGGAAAAUGUACUAUGUCCUCGCCUCUCCAGGGGAGGAACGUCCUGCACUUCUCGAGGGGACUGUGUGGGUGUAGGAGGAGGCGCCCCUGGAGUGAUUUGUCCAGGCCAAGACAGUGGGGACAGACGACGGUGGAAAGGGACACGUGUCCAAGGACAAGGGAGCCUCUCUGGAAGUCCUUGGAGAGGGAACACAU